CCUACGGGUGGCAGCAGUGAGGAAUAUUGGUCAAUGGACGCAACUCUGAUCCAGCCAUGCCGCGUGCAGGAAGACGGCUCUAUGCGUUGUAAGCUGCUUUUGUACGAGGGUAAACGAAGAUACGCGUAUCUGUCUGCCCGUCUCGUACGAAUAAGGCUCGGCUAACUCCGUGCCCGCAGCCGCGGUAAUACGGAGGAUUCAAGCGUUAUCCGGAUUUAGUGGGUUUAAAGGGUGCGUAGGCGGUCGGAUAAGUUCGAGGUGAAAUCCCGAGGCUCAACUUCGGAAUUGCCUCUGAUACUGUUCGGCUAGAGAGUAGUUGCGGUAGGCGGAAUGUAUGGUGUAGCGGUGAAAUGCGUAGAUAUUA
This 364-nucleotide ribosomal RNA is filed under the name uncultured bacterium. RNAcentral describes it as "partial 16S ribosomal RNA". It matches the Rfam family "Bacterial small subunit ribosomal RNA", at positions 338 to 699 of the family's 1533-position model. The record is from RNAcentral.